Molecule: ribosomal RNA, 254 nt
Filed under: uncultured bacterium
Lineage: Bacteria
Description: partial 16S ribosomal RNA
Rfam family: Bacterial small subunit ribosomal RNA
Source: RNAcentral
CACGUAGGGGGCAAGCGUUGUCCGGAUUUAUUGGGCGUAAAGAGCUCGUAGGUGGUUCGGUAAGUCGGGUGUUAAACCCCCAGGCUCAACCUGGGGACGCCACUCGAUACUGCUGUGACUAGAGUCCGGUAGGGGAGCGUGGAAUUCCUGGUGUAGCGGUGAAAUGCGCAGAUAUCAGGAGGAACACCAGCGGCGAAGGCGGCGCUCUGGGCCGGUACUGACACUGAGGAGCGAAAGCAUGGGGAGCGAACAGG